AAUUUAAUGGCAAUUACUAAGCAUUGCAUACUCAUAAAAAUGAACCUGGUAGGACUCAUAAUCGAUUGGUCCCCAGUUCAAGUCUGGGAGGGGCCACCA
This 99-nucleotide transfer RNA is filed under the name Vibrio parahaemolyticus. RNAcentral's name for it is "tRNA-Ile". RNAcentral also lists the same sequence under 2 other names. Lineage: Bacteria; Pseudomonadati; Pseudomonadota; Gammaproteobacteria; Vibrionales; Vibrionaceae. The record is from RNAcentral.